UACAGGCCGUCUGUAAUGACA
Molecule: microRNA, 21 nt
Filed under: Gadus morhua (Atlantic cod)
Lineage: Eukaryota; Metazoa; Chordata; Actinopteri; Gadiformes; Gadidae
Description: gmo-miR-11929-3p
Source: miRBase by way of RNAcentral